This 253-nucleotide ribosomal RNA is filed under the name uncultured bacterium. RNAcentral's name for it is "partial 16S ribosomal RNA". It matches the Rfam family "Bacterial small subunit ribosomal RNA", at positions 524 to 776 of the family's 1533-position model. The record is from RNAcentral.
UACGUAGGGUGCGAGCGUUGUCCGGAAUUAUUGGGCGUAAAGAGCUCGUAGGCGGUCUGUCGCGUCGAAUGUGAAAACCCGGGGCUCAACUCCGGGCUUGCAUUCGAUACGGGCAGGCUAGAGUUCGGUAGGGGAGUCUGGAAUUCCUGGUGUAGCGGUGAAAUGCGCAGAUAUCAGGAGGAACACCGGUGGCGAAGGCGGGACUCUGGGCCGAUACUGACGCUGAGGAGCGAAAGCCAGGGGAGCAAACGGG